RNAcentral lists this ribosomal RNA (246 nucleotides) under uncultured bacterium. RNAcentral's name for it is "partial 16S ribosomal RNA". It matches the Rfam family "Bacterial small subunit ribosomal RNA", at positions 523 to 769 of the family's 1533-position model. The record is from RNAcentral.
AUACGUAGGUGGCAAGCGUUAUCCGGAUUUAUUGGGCGUAAAGCGAGCGCAGGCGGUUUAAUAAGUCUGAAGUUAAAGGCAGUGGCUUAACCAUUGUUCGCUUUGGAAACUGUUAAACUUGAGUGCAGAAGGGGAGAGUGGAAUUCCAUGUGUAGCGGUGAAAUGCGUAGAUAUAUGGAGGAACACCGGUGGCGAAAGCGGCUCUCUGGUCUGUAACUGACGCUGAGGCUCGAAAGCGUGGGGAGC